AGUCGUGAGAGAUGGAAGCCUGCACUGCAGAGGUAGCGUUUAUCGUCUGGUAACUGACACCGUUUGCGCAAAUAGAGCUCAAAUACUGGACUUGUUGAUCAAAUAGCACGGAAAAGCCGCCAGAGGCUUAUGCUCGCCCAUACCGUAUUUUGAGGCUACACGUGUCUGGGGCUGUCCCUGGUCACGGACGCGUCAAGAACGCGCGUAUUCCAGAGAGCGCUCGCUCAAACGCGAUACAAUCAGGCUGCACUGUUAUGAACGCCACGACGACGACUCCUGUCGCUGAACAUCAAGGCGGUUAAUGGACGCGAUGUCUCCUGGAGAAGCACCCGCGAAGACGGCGACGAGGAUGCUCUGUGCGUUCCCCCAGGAGCAUACACUUGCGACAUGCAAUCGAUGACACAAAACCCCUGCCCGUAGCACAGAACUCUUGCGUCAGCGCAUAUCGCCCAGUCCGGCGCCAAGCAAACUCGCCUUACAGCUGAUUUGCUGCAUUGACGUGCGAGACGGGGGCUAGCGCGCUAGGCACCGUCGGCUGCCCAGGAGCCACGGAUGUGUUCCCAGUCACAACGAAUCGGUGAGGAUGCGCUCCAAAGUGAGGCAUGAGUCCUCAGACCGGCACCCUCGACGCGGCUUGCCCCGUUGGCAUCGAUACUCGCUGCACACUCGAUUGGCCAAGCGUAAGAUGCUUCGAGCAUCGCUCCCGAACCCCAUUCUGGCGUUCGUAAGAAUGGAUCAAAAUACGGAUCGAAAAGCAGCAUAUGGAUCGGGUUGUAGCGCUCGUCGAGAUCUACAGUAUUCGGCGGUAGGCGACCGCGGAGUGAGCGAUCUGCUGUAUCGCGGCAGUUGGGAUGAACGCAACGCUCGAAAAACUCCAUGGCAUCACGCUCCUCGGGCAAGAGCAUGUCCUGAGCGCCUCGCUCCACCGAGGUCGACAGCGCCGAGGUCCCUGAUGGCCGCUGCGUCUCCCAGCGGCGCCGAAUCAAGUGCUGGACGACCUCACGGAGAUUGCUUAACCGCAUUUGGAUGUCGCCAUACCAGUCUCGUUCACUGUUGAUCCGAUAACAGUGGUAACGGGAUUGACGCUCGAAAAAGUCUACUGUGGCGUUGCUGAUGAGCGGCUCGAUGCAGGCAAAAUCAAAAUCGGCGAUCACGGCCUCGUACGGUUGUUCGGGGCGCAACCCAAGAUACCAAAUGUGACCUUCAAACGCGUAUCGGCGGUAACGCACAGGGCCAGCCUCUGGGGCGCUCGAUGGACGCACCAGCUGCAGCGUCGAUGCUGGUGUCCGUGCACCAGCGCCAGCGAGACCAACCAAGACCUGACACGUGCCAAGGCACGCAGUCGUGAGCGAACCACGCCGUCGAAGCAUAACGUUGGCAAGCGAGAGGUCGUUAUGCUUCCAGUUCGGAUGGAAGCGCAGAAGCACGGCAAGCGUGAACACAAUCUGAAAAGUGAGCUCACGCACGGCCGAAAUGUCGAUUCCCGGUGCAGUGCCCCGACAGAGGGCGUGAAAGAGCGUUCCACCGGUGCAACGCUCCAUGCGAGAAUACUGCAGCGCUCAGGAUCGCGGUUUUAACGCCGCUCUAUCCACUGACGAAGCUCGGUUGCGGCGGUACCGCUUCGCCAGAAGGCCUCGGGGAUGCGCAGCGCGGACAACGGCACAUCGUGGCGCUCCCCGAAAAGAACCGGAAGAUGCGAGGUUGCCCGUCCUACCAGGAGCGUCCUCAUUAGUAGACGCAUCAUAGCCGGCUCGCUUCGCGUGGGGUGCAUGAAGAGUGCGGUUCGAAAUCCGGUUUCGUAGAGAGAUACUUUGAUCGCAACUUGUGGAAACCACCGAGACAGGAGCACCAGGCCAACUGCGCCGGCGCCCAAGGCCUGCAGCCAUUCCGCGUGCCGCAGGAUCUUGUCGAGGAGCUCAUCGCCGUGGAGGCUGCCCGACGGUGACAAUCUCAGGGAACGACGCAGCGGGCCGCUUUGGUAACGGGCGUCGACGACAUCAGAGGUCUCUUGUUGCAGCGAAUGUGGGGUCGCUGGCGAGGUUAUCGCGGACUUUGGCGGUGGUGUCGGCAACGCGGUCGCCUCGUCGACCACCAGAGGCAGCCGCAUUUGCUUCGAGCCGCCCGGAUCUGCGUCAGCGUACCGUGGAUCGGUUAGCGGCACGAGGAUGUGAAACGUUGGCGAUGCUCGCCCUGCGGUACCCGGGACCGGUCGAUGGAUCUCCAUACAUGCAUUAUCCGUGAGUAGUCCGCUGCCUGCAGCGUUUUCGCGUAGCUGCAUGGUGGCGGUACCAGUGGGCAAGCUCCAACGAAAAUCCGACACAACUUGCGAUAGCGUGGCGAGUCGUUUCCGCGGAGAAGGACGGCGAUCGGCGUUGUCGCACGCGUCAACGCAGCACACCGGUGGCUCUGACUCGGAGCCGACUGCGCACAGGCACCAGACGACUCGGCUGCAGACGCUUUCCGUGAACUUGUUCUACAAGCGCGUACUCGCUGUGGCGCUACGAGGGCGUUUCGCCUUCGAAACGGUGCGUAAUCGUUGUGUGCAAGUAACAAGUUGCAAACAGGCAACUUCCACCGAACCUCGAGGACCCCAAAGUGCACCUCAACUAUAUGCACACAGUGGCCCACAGCGCUGGGUACCGCUCAGCGAUACCGAGCCACACGUCAAUGGCGAACCAGAUAACAGGCACAGUUGACUUGACCUCGAACCUAAACCUAACCCAAUAUCAACCC
RNAcentral lists this unclassified non-coding RNA (2733 nucleotides) under Cyanidioschyzon merolae strain 10D. RNAcentral describes it as "hypothetical transcript". The record is from RNAcentral. Lineage: Eukaryota; Rhodophyta; Bangiophyceae; Cyanidiales; Cyanidiaceae.